RNAcentral lists this long non-coding RNA (1297 nucleotides) under Anser brachyrhynchus (Pink-footed goose). RNAcentral describes it as "lncRNA (ENSABRG00000019548.1)". Lineage: Eukaryota; Metazoa; Chordata; Aves; Anseriformes; Anatidae. The record is from RNAcentral.
GCUGCAGUAACAGCCACAUCGUGUCAGACUGAACACCAGCUGAAUUCUCCCUCCUGGCUUCACAGAGGCCCACAGCAGCUGCCUGAGGGAAGGCAUAGCAACAGGAUAACUGUGCCCACAGUAGCUGACAAAUCGCCAACAGUUUGCAGUUCAAGGACUGUUUGGUCGUGGAGUGUUUUUUGUUGCUGUUUUUGGCCAAAAAGCUCUGGAAUGUCAAACUCUAGCAGGAGGAAGACCCCCUCACCCAACCACCACCAAACAUCACAGUGGUGGAAGAUGCCUGGAGACUGUUUCCUCUGCCAUUUGUCCAGCUCCAGUGUGUGCUGGCUAGCAGCACAGGGAGACAUGACAUUGAAGAAUUUGUGUGUCAAUGACUGUGGCUGACCAUUGUAUGUCAGAUGACAGAACAAAAGAAAAAGUGUGAACACACAAAACUACUUCAGAUUUCUUUACAUUUGCUGAAGAAGCUCUUGCUUCAAAAUCUGAUGCUGAAUUUUGACUGUCAAAGAUGGAAUAACACCACUUAAGUCAAUACAUGAAAGGAGACUUACAAUGGUCAGGUGUGGUUUUUUGAGACGAAUAGAAUUGAUUAGCAGUUAUAGUUCAUAAUUUGUGACUGUUUUUGCAAUAUCACAAAUGUGGAACUCCAAAGUCUUGAGGUAGUGAUACACCUCUGGACCAGAGGGUAGAGGGAAUUUUAUUUGUCAAUUUAAGCAUUGUGUGACAUCUCUGAAAUCUAUCUCUGAAAUCUCAAUCUAAUUAAUUCAUUUUUUUAAGUAAUUUAUAAUGAAAACAAAUAUAGUCUCAGUACAAUGGUAUAACUCUGUUUUAGGCGUUCCCCACUUCUGUGUAUCCCUCUGAUGUGCGUAGUAUCUACUUUUGAGUCUCCUCAUGUUUGUGUGCUAAUAGCUACUGCAAUCUAAUAGCUAAUCUUGGUAUAAACUGUUCCCUUGCAGCUACAGCAACAGCUACGGAAUCACUCAGCAAUACAGAGGUGCUCACAAUAGGAACUAUUUAUUCACAUAAGGCAGAUUCACAGUCUGAGGUUUUAAGCACUUCAGGAAAUAGACUGUGAUCUAAUUUUUCAAAUACCUGUGUAACUGUUAAAUUGAAUGAAAAUUUUCCUUGUUUGUACUAGUGGGGGAUGAUACUAUUCUCCAUCAUUCUGUUCAGAAAAUGCCUUAAAGUCUCCAGCUAUAUUGUGUAUUGUUUCCAUGACAUAAAUUGCAUCAAGGUGCAGCUUAUUAGGCAAGAUUUUUAAAAUAAACGAGUCCCCUUUUAUUUGACUAGAUCCUUG